UCAAUUAGGCCUGCUCCAUAUUCGUCCUUGAAGAAUUCGCGUUUCUGGCAAUCUUCACAGGUUAGUGAUCCUAAAAAAUUUAAAAUCUUUCCGGUAUGCAGCCUCAACCUUUUUGGACCUACUCUCACCUGUCAUAAUUGAGCCUGGAAUGCAGUAAGAUAUGACGAAUUAGUAAACAAAAAAAAUUGGGUAAUCCAAAGAAAAGAUUUCAAAUUUUUAAGUAUAGUUAAGUUGAGAAUGCCGAAAACAAGUUUCUGCUUUUUUUCCUCUGAGUUCACAUCAAUCUUCUCCCUCAUGAAAGACACACAUAACAAUCAUAAUCAAGAAGUAAUGAACAAGUUGAGAUAUUUCAAUGGAUUAUCACAGAUUAUUCCUACAUAUGAACAGCUGCGAAUAUAGAACUGAAAUGUCCAAUAGUAAAACAUGGUAUACCUGCAAGUUUCUAACGCUUUGUCCCUCCAAGGAAUCACACAUCCACAAGCUUCCAUGUAUUCAAGAAUGUGCUGAUGUAGUAAUGAUUACUAGGAUGUGCUUAGCUUCACUCUAGAAAAAUUUUGACAAGCCAAAAAAAGAGCUGAUGCAGAUUUUGCAUAUGGAGCAUGCCAAAUUAAUGCUUCCAAUGCCGUGAACCUGGUUUAGUGUAUGAUGCUACUGAAAUGAAAUUGACUACAUAAGAUUUUUAUGCGGUUAGGGCUAUAAUUCAAUGCUUCUACAACUCAUAACAGGGGAUAAUAGCAAGGGAUCUAAACUACCCUUCAUUUGCUCUCCAAGCCUCACACUCAGAUUCCAAUGUAUUUGAUAGUUUCAAGAGGACUGUCACAAAUGUUUGAUCCCCGAUGUCCACAUAUAAAGCUAUUGUGAGUUGUGACUGCUCCUCAAGGACUUAAAAUCAAAGUGAAGCCAAAUGUUUUGUCAUUCAAUUCUCUUGGCCAAAAGAAAACAUUUGUGCUCACUAUUGAUAUGGAGCAAUAAGAGAAUAUGUUGCUUCAGCUUCUUUGGUUUACAUUGGGAUGAUGGUAAAUUUCAAGUGACUGAUAAUAAUGAAGAAGCUACUAAAGAUGAGAAAGGGCUAAGAUGUAGUUUGGUUGCAAGCAUUUAGUCUAGCGAUCUUUCCUCACUGGAUCGUGGAUGUUAACAAAUGAAUAGAAAGCCAUAUAUAUAGAGGCUUGUGAAUACACUAAUUAGGAAUCUCACUGAUUGUUAGGUGUAACUAAUUUCUAAAUACACUAACUAGGAAUCUCACUGAUUGUUAGGUGUAACUAAUUUCUGAAUCUCACUAACUAGGUGUAACUCAUUGAUUAAGUGUAACUAAUUUCUGUCACAAUUAAUCAACCUCUCUAACAAAUUAUGUUAAUCCUAAUAGAUGUAGCCUUGUAAUUGUAGAGUCUAUGUUAAGGUGUCUAAAGUGAAAGUAUCUUUAAUUUUUAUUUCUUUCUCCCUGGCUUCUGUCACAUAAAGACAUAAAUAAACUAUGAUAAGGUUAUGUUUGAUUCUCUAUGAUUUUUGAGAUUUAGACAGGGUUUGAAUUGAGUUUUCUUUUUUUAAAAUAUCUCUAAUAUUGUCAAAAGUCUAUAGAAUACACCUUAAAAUCCAAAUAAAACAAAAAAUUUGAAGACUAACUUAUUCAAAAUAAAGAACAGCAUUAAUAAAUUUUAAAAACUGAUAAGUUGAACAAAAGUCAAUGAUAUAUGUGCAAUUUUAUAACACGCACAUUUUAGAAUGUUCUCAUGGUCCACUAAGAUUUUACCUCAUAUUCAAGUUUAGCAGAAAUUCAAACACACACACACACCUCUGCACUUGAUUGAGGGCAUGAAUCAUCCAUGAUCUUGAUGAUAUUGUCUUUUUUCAAUCAAAAUUCAAAACAUGAUUUAAAUUGAUAAAGUAGUUUUAAAAAGAAAAAGGGAGGACCCCGUUUCUGCCCUUUUUUUUCAUUGGCAUAUGAUUCAUGGAAUCAAUCAUACAAAACAAAAUUUGUGUGUAUUUCUUGUCACAAGGCCACUGGCACUUGCGUUUCUCAAUUUAUAUGCCUUAACCUUUAGCUGCAUUAGAGCAAAAUUACAAGGUAGAUGGGCUAGACAGCUUUGCUUUUUGUGAAAUAAAUAACUUGCUGGUUUUACUUUUACAUUAACAGUUGGAAAACACUAGGGCACAAAUUAUUAACUUAACAGAAUUUGUAAUUUGAAUAAAACUACUCAGUGUGAUUAAAGAACUUUGAGCAGUUAUUAGUUCACAAACUGUUAUACACUGAUUAUUCUUGAAUUUCAAAUUUUCCUCCCUUUCAAUUCUGUAAUCAAGGCUAACAAUCAUGUAAAUUAUAAACUACUUCUAGCUUUCAGUACUGAAUCACGAUUCUCAAUAUUUUCGAUGCAGAAUCAAAUACAGGCUUCUAAAUUGAGAGGAGAAGUGAUUCUAGAGAAGCUACUCCUAUUAGCUUUUUGGGGAAGGAGUGAUUCUGAAAAAACUAAAUAUGCCUCAAAACAUGCUGCGAAAAUUUAAUCACUCUCUGGAAGCUUAGCAGAUAAGUAGCUCCAUUUCGCUAUGCUAUGCAUUGGAUUUCAAAUUUAUGGGAGCAAUUUGCUUGUUCUUCCUUUAGGCUAGAAAUGUCAUAGCCAUAUAAAUCAUAUGGUAUGUUGUUGAGUUGAAGGAGCACCAGGAAAAAAUACAGAAAAGAAAAUAGGAAGCAGAACACACUAAUUUAUUUAAUUAAUCUUGUGGAAUUUAUAGAAAAAGAAAACAGGUAUAAAGUUGAUGAAUUCAAAGGCAACCUAAUUGCUUAACUUGUCAAAAGCUUAAAAGACAUGGACCACUUUGCUGUGUACCUAAACUGACAUUACUUAACUUGCAUAAAAA
This 2850-nucleotide long non-coding RNA is filed under the name Lotus japonicus. Its description in RNAcentral is "long non-coding RNA (LJAP_LNC001893)". The record is from RNAcentral. Lineage: Eukaryota; Viridiplantae; Streptophyta; Magnoliopsida; Fabales; Fabaceae.